CAGAGUACUUGCCCUUCGGGGUAGAUCCUCCCACCCUUGGUUAUUAUACCUUUGUUGCUUUGGCAGGCCGCCUGGCUCCUGCCGGACCACCGGCUCUCGGGCUGGUGCAGUGCCUGCCAGAGGAUCCUCAAAACUCAUGUUUAUAGUGUGUCUGAGUACUAUAUAAAUAGUUA
Molecule: unclassified non-coding RNA, 173 nt
Filed under: soil metagenome
Description: partial internal transcribed spacer 1
Source: RNAcentral